UUUAAUAUGGCAGAUAAGUGCAAUGAAUUUAAAUUUCAUUUAUAAAAAAAUUUUUUUUAUUAAAA
Molecule: transfer RNA, 65 nt
Filed under: Ochetellus glaber
Lineage: Eukaryota; Metazoa; Arthropoda; Insecta; Hymenoptera; Formicidae
Description: tRNA-Leu
Source: RNAcentral